CCGCAAAUAAUUCCGGCGGUUCAUGACAUUGACCGCCGUAACCUUUUCUUUUUUUUUAAAUUAUCUUCUGUCUUCAUUUUUUUUUUCAAAACCCUAAAUCGCUUUCCCCUUUCCCUGGCUUCAUUUUCCCCGAGCCCUUUCCCCGCACAAUCUUAUUGGCUUAGUGACUUCGUUUUAAUAACAUUUCUUUUCCUCUGCUCUCUCUCGAACCUUCUUGAUGGAAGACACGGAGAAGACCGAGUGGAUCGAAUCAAACACAGGAGUGGAAAAGAUUCGACGUAGAGUGAAAAAUAGGAAGAUUGUUCGGUGAGAAAUGCAAAUUAGGUCGCGUGUUUGGUGGAAAAGGAAGAUUCAACGGUUGAAUCGGUGAAACGGUGACAAAAUGAGAUGUAAUCGAUGGAUUCAGUGGAGAAGAUUGUAGCGACCACGAAUCAAGUCGCAAGAUGUGAUUUGGUGAUGUGAAUCACGACGAUGAGGGCUCUGUGAGAGCGAUUAGGUGAGGAGAUUCGCGAGCUCGAGAAGAAGCUAGGGUUAGGUUGUUGGACUUGUGAAAACUCAAAUCGUUGCCGCUGCGUGACCGACCCAUCGUUCCAUAACCACCAUUACGUCUUAUCACCUCCUACAAACGGUUAGCGGGAAGGAUGAAGGAAACAGUGAUGUAAACGAUCUUUCUCAAACACAUCUUUGAACGAUGCAGUCCUAGAUCCAGACACAUCUUCAUUUGGAUUUCUGGGGCAGAUUCCCAGAAAUUUUAGCCUUUCAGAUCUGACUGCCGAUUUUUCUCGGAGUUCUGGUAUGUCUUCUCUCAAGCUUGUGUGGGAUCCUUGUGUAUUGUUCACGAAUUGCAUUCUUUUGCUCGUGUUAGAGAAAGUCAAGCAUUUCAUUUUUUUUUCCAAAGUUUCCAGCCUUUUUCUAUGCUAUUACAUACUAGUGUAUCAAGUAACAAACAGAUAGGAUUGGAUAAAUAAUUUGCACUAGUAGUUAAGGUUCUUAUUUGACAGAUAUACUGGACUAGGUCACCCUUCGUUGCUACGGAUAAUGAAAACUUUCUUAACGAGGAGAACAAGGUAAGAAACAUUUUCACUCACCUGUAUUCUGUUGUUUUGUUCCGCAAUGCUAAUACCGUUGUUAUCUUGGUUUUAAAUAGACAAUAAUAGGCUAGACUCCAUAUCAGAAGGUUUAAGUUAUGAAGACUUUGGGAGUGAAUAGUUGAUACCAUUUGGCUGACGAACUUGCAGGUUGAACAAAAUGCUUAAAAUAUUGUACAUAAAACUUUAGAGGUUUUGAAAUUUAACUGUUGGAUGAACAUAUGCAAUUGGUGUGUAGAAAGUGCACUCACCUCAUUAUUGGUGAUGGUGAAAUGAAAGUUGGAAUGCUUGCAUGGAAGGGAAAGACUCGGUGCAAAUAAAUAAUAAUCUUUUUUCCCCUUUGUGUUUGGCCUUUUGUACUAUAUGCUUAUUCUACAUUGUGUUCAUACUAGAAUUAUAUUAUUGUGUUUUGUUGAUUUUCCUGAUAUAAGACUGAAUAAAAUUAUUUUGUCUUUGGAUUAUGUUUCCAUCUUUGUUUUAAAGCGUGUAUAAAAGUUUAAACACCUCUAAUGCUUUGUAAGGUCUAGUCUAUAUAUUUUGUUGGUUAAAGAGAGAGGGUAGGAAAGAUUAAUUCUGUUUUUCUUCUCUCUGCAUUUUCUUGUGGAUGAAUUAUGUUAUUUCUUCUUAAAUCUUUUUUGCUCUGUAAAGCUAUGGAAUGUGGGUCAUAGCUACUCAUUUGUUUUCUGAGUAUUCCUUUAAUAUCCUAUUUUUCUCAUUAAAUUUUUCUGGUGUAUUGGUUGAUAGUUUCCUGUUACUUUGGGUAUGUUACAUGCUUCUUUUAAUAUUUAUAUUCUUUAUUGCUAAUAAAAAAAACAUAACACCAUUAUACCAUAUUAAAGCUAAAAUAUCUUGAAUGUAAUUUUUUUUGUGGUUAUCUCUUUCCUUUUGUUUAAUUCCAUUAAUGUAUCACUCUUUUUUUUUCCUUUUGUUUAAUUCCACUAAUGUCCACCCCUUUUUUCAACGUUUUAAACUGAAAACUCAUAACAAUCCACAUCCCUGAGUUUUAACCAGGACUUUGUUGUGAAUGGACCAUGAUGAGGCCACGCAGACAUCUCCGACUUGCUUUGCUAUUACAGUUUUCCCAAUUUUAUUAAAUAGGCCUUCAGGUUUUAAAAACCGGCGUUUGAUCUUGCAAUAAAAUUCCCAGCUCUAAACAAUUAUAAUCAAGCAUUGGUUAGGAUUCCUCGGUCAUGAGGUGUUUCAAUUGUGUUUGCUCAAUUUUGAUGUUCUUUUUAUGUGGUAUGGUUGCAUGUAUAUGUAUGGUUUAUCUUGUGAAGAUGUUCGAACUCUAUCAGUAUUGCCAUAAUUAGAAGAGAAACAGAUAUUUGAUGGAGAGAAGGCUAAUUUGCUUGUUAGAGAUCUCAGAAAGGCCUUUGAUUUAGGUAGGACAAAGAGUUAUGAAUGGAGGGUUGUCCAGUUGGAGGCCAUUAUUAAGAUGUUAAAAGAGAGAAUUUGAGGUAGGCUACAAGCGUUUGAUGAAUUCGAGGUAGGUGAACGAGUUUGCUUUUGUAGUGUUCUGGUUUUUUGUAUCAGAUCUGGUGGCUUGUUGUUGACUCAAAAUAGAUAAUACAUUAAUAGACCUAUCAAUGGUACUUGGCAAACUUAGUAAUGCUUCAGUUUCUAGUUUCAAAGACAACAAACUAAUAUAUUCUGAUGCAUCGUCAUGAUCAGGUGAUUCAAAAGAGAGCUAUUAUAUUGGUCCUAUUGCAGAUACAAAUGUUAAGCUUAAUCAAUGGCCUUCUGAAGAUUUAGUUGUGUUGUUUUCGUUUUACAUAUAUAUUUGUGGUUUCUGACAUCUACGUGAGCUUUAUUUGAGAUAUUUAUUUUGCAAGGACACUUCAGAAUCACUUGGAAAUUGGAGACCAUCAAUGGAAUUAUUCUACUGGAAACUCUUGGAACUAAUGCACAGGUAGGUCUGGUAAUGUAUAAUGCCAACUCCAAUGCAGAUGUCCAACAUAUCCAUUGAAGAAGAAUACUACAACGGUAGCAGACAUUGUAUUCUUAUAGCAUCCGGAGACCCUGUUCCUAGGAGAAUGUUAGUCUCUCUGCCACAGAUUGAUAAAGGAAGAAUUUUUGGCCAAUAGUUGCAUACUUUAAAUGUUGAUUUUUGUGAGGUGGCAGAAAUGUUUGGCCCGCUAGCAGUAUCCCUUUCAAUGAUAUCUGCAGUGCAACAUCCAAUUUUUGGAGUGAUAUUCAAUACGGGAAAUAACGGUUCUCCAAUGGUAACCACUCCAAACUCUAACAUUAGAAUUGGCGAAUUGAAUGUUCUAUUGGCAAGAAAUUUUAAGGAGACACACGAUGCCCUUCGUGGGAAAAGAAGAGUGGAUCCAGCCACAAAAGAUAGUGUAAAAUCAAUGAGGAUGACAAAUGAAGAAGUUGCUAACAUGGUUGAUCCAAGGGGUGCUUUACCAACUGAUGACUCCAUGUUCAUUUAGUCAAGAGGAAACAUAGCUAAUACUGAACCAUCCUUAUCACGACCAGUUCUUCCAUAUGCUUGUACUAGCACUAGCAGCAGCAGGCGUCCACAUCUUCCAUUCCUAACAGCAGGCUUUGAUCCAUAUGGUAGAUCUGUGUUUGGACCAACCACUGGGUUCCACCUCCACCAAAAGCACCUCAAUUUAAUCCCCAUGAUUUCUGGCCUCCUCCACCAUCUUCUACAUAUUCUCAAAACCUAGUGCAAGCAUGGGAGGUAAACUCAUUCAGGCAUCACAAGCACAAGAAAAGCUUCAGAAUGAAAACCAUAUGCGAAGGAUAAGGUAGAAUCGGCGGUUGUUGUGUAACCCCUGGAAUUACAGGCGAUUUUGACAAAACCCUUGGAAGUACCCCUGGAAUUACAGGCGAUUUUGACAAAACCCUUGGAAGUACCGGCGGUUUAUAGAAAACCCCCGUUAUUUCUGGCAGUUUUCAAAAAACCCUGCUAUUUCCGACCAUACUACUAGGCAACGCUCGUUUUCCCUACGGUUUUCGCAAUUGCGGGAAAAGCACUUUCCGGGGUUUAAAACCGCCGGUAAUAUUGAAAAAAACCUCCGGUAAAAUUCUCCUUUUUUGUAGUGUGAGCAACAUAAAAAAAAAUUACAUCAACCAUUCCAACCAACAUUCUGUAUUUAGCUAGAUGUCUAGCAUCUUCAAUAAUGGGUUUAACAUUUGUACGUUUUUUUUGCCAUGUUGACCAAAUCACGACCACUUCUAUGAGAAAACUCUCUACUGCUUCCUGACUACAUACAAAGAACAAUACACUCCGAGUAAGCUAUUAUACUCCAUAA
Molecule: long non-coding RNA, 4351 nt
Organism: Vigna radiata var. radiata (mung bean)
Lineage: Eukaryota; Viridiplantae; Streptophyta; Magnoliopsida; Fabales; Fabaceae
Exons: 8
Source: RefSeq, a predicted model, not a curated record